RNAcentral lists this ribosomal RNA (506 nucleotides) under Yarrowia lipolytica. Its description in RNAcentral is "eukaryotic LSU rRNA". It matches the Rfam family "Eukaryotic large subunit ribosomal RNA", at positions 67 to 657 of the family's 3401-position model. Lineage: Eukaryota; Fungi; Ascomycota; Dipodascomycetes; Dipodascales. The record is from RNAcentral.
UACUGGCCUUGCCUCAGUACGGCGAGUGAGCGGCAAAAGCUCAAAUUUGAAACCCUCGGGAUUGUAAUUUGAAGAUUUGGCAUUGGAGAAAGCUAACCCAAGUUGCUUGGAAUAGUACGUCAUAGAGGGUGACAACCCCGUCUGGCUAACCGUUCUCCAUGUAUUGCCUUAUCAAAGAGUCGAGUUGUUUGGGAAUGCAGCUCAAAGUGGGUGGUAAACUCCAUCUAAAGCUAAAUACUGGUGAGAGACCGAUAGCGAACAAGUACUGUGAAGGAAAGGUGAAAAGAACUUUGAAAAGAGAGUGAAAUAGUAUGUGAAAUUGUUGAUAGGGAAGGAAAUGAGUGGAGAGUGGCCGAGGUUUCAGCCGCCCCUCGUGGGCGGUGUACUGCCGACGCCGAGUCAUCGAUAGCGAGACGAGGGUUACAAAUGGGAGCGCCUUCGGGCGUUCUCCCCUAACCCUCCACACUGCCACCGACGACAUAAUCCACCCAUUUCACCCGUCUUAA